GUAAGGAAUAUUGGACAAUGGACGGAAGUCUGAUCCAGCCAUGCCGCGUGAAGGAAGAAGGCGCUCAGCGUUGUAAACUUCUUUUGGACGGGAACAAAAUGCGCCACUUGUGGUGUACUGAGGGUACCGUCAGAAUAAGCACCGGCUAACUCCGUGCCAGCAGCCGCGGUAAUACGGAGGGUGCGAGCGUUAUCCGGAAUCACUGGGUUUAAAGGGUGCGUAGGCGGUCAGAUAAGUCAGUCGUGAAAUCGUUGGGCUUAACCUAUACAAUUGCGAUUGAUACUGUUUGACUUGAAUCAGGUUGAGGUGGGCGGAAUGUGGCAUGUAGCGGUGAAAUGCAUAGAUAUGCCAUAGAACACCGAUUGCGAAGGCAGCUUGCUGGACCUGAAUUGACGCUGAGGCACGAAAGCGUGGGGAGCAAACAGGAUUAGAAACCCCGGUAGUCC
Molecule: ribosomal RNA, 446 nt
Filed under: uncultured bacterium
Lineage: Bacteria
Description: bacterial SSU rRNA
Rfam family: Bacterial small subunit ribosomal RNA
Source: RNAcentral